UACGAAGGGGGCUAGCGUUGCUCGGAAUCACUGGGCGUAAAGCGCACGUAGGCGGCUUUUUAAGUCAGAGGUGAAAUCCUGGAGCUCAACUCCAGAACUGCCUUUGAUACUGGCAAGCUAGAGUCCGGAAGAGGUAAGUGGAACUCCUAGUGUAGAGGUGGAAUUCGUAGAUAUUAGGAAGAACACCAGUGGCGAAGGCGGCUUACUGGUCCGGAACUGACGCUGAGGUGCGAAAGCGUGGGGAGCGAACAGG
Molecule: ribosomal RNA, 253 nt
Filed under: uncultured bacterium
Lineage: Bacteria
Description: partial 16S ribosomal RNA
Rfam family: Bacterial small subunit ribosomal RNA
Source: RNAcentral